CCCACCUUGGCCUCCCAAAGUGCUGGGAUUACAGGCGUGAGCCACCAUGCCCGGCCUGUCACAUUUAUUUCUGAUGACAGUAGACAUACUUUUCCAAGUUGUAGAAUAGGCAUACCAUCCUUCCAGAACAGCCAACACUCUGAAGUUUAUGAAAUUGGGUGACAUCUUUUGGAUCAGACCUUUUUUGAUUAGAGUGCUCUGGGAACACCUUCUCCUACAUAAAACCAGCCUCUGAAUUUCAGUGUCUAGUUUCCCUUGGUCUGCUUCCCUAUAAUGGGGCAGUGGUCAUGAGGGUCUGUCGGUGCUGUGAUGUGAAAAGCAGCCACGGUCCCGGUGUCCUGGGAAAGGUUACUGUCCUUAAUCAAAACAAAUCUUAUUAAUCUGAGGCAAGUGGUAGCACAGCUGUGAGUGGCCACCUAGAAAGAUGUGUGGCAGGAGAUUCAUGUCCACAAAGUAUAACACACCCCUCCACAACCACAACCAGCAGCAAACAGCAGGCCUGGAACCAGUGAAAAACCCACGUCGUGACCACUGAAUAAAGCAAUAGAACAUUGGAAGGGAUAGCUGCACUUGAAGGUUACUGUUUGUACACACACACACGCACACACAUGCACACACAUACGUGCACACACACGCACGCAUGCGCACGCACGCAUGCACACACAUGCACCCACAUGCAUGCGCACACACACGCACACACGCGCGCGCACACACACACACACACACACACACACGGCUGGCAGAGCACAUGGCAGGGCCUUGUCCUUGAAGAUGCUACAGCCCUAAAACGGAUUCUGGGAGGAUUCUGCAUGUGCAGCAGUGGGCUCUGCAUCCCCACCUGGGGGCCCGGGGGCCGCGGGGCUGCUGAAGCCAGGGCCUGGGGCUCUGCCACUGGUGGUGUGACCGUGGGCUAGCCACUAGGGUCCUCAGGACUCCCUGGCUUUCUAGGGGAGAAGUGGGGGAUGAGCCGAGACAAUUGUCCCAUUUUCUUCCAGCUCUCAUAACCACUUUGUGUCAUGAGUGCAGGUGGGUUACAACUGGGCCCUUAGGAAAGGAGGCAGAUGGAGGAAGAGCUGGCUGAGGGCUCAGGGGUCCCUGGAUCCCAGGGAGGGGUGAGAUUUCUGGAAGUGGAGAUGGCGGAGUGAGUGGUGUGGACUAGACAGUGUCUUAAAAAGCAUUGUCAACUAAGGUGACAAAUGCUUACUGGUAAGAGGACAGCCCCAGCCUGGCCUCACUGAUAAUGUUCCCGGAGUGGACCUGUGGGCCAUCCCCGUGGGCGCUGUUUUGGUGGUAAUUUUCAGUGAAUCCCUCUUUUCCCCAGUCCCCUGCAGGAGGACUCCAUCCCAAGCUCCCACGCCUGCCUAGCCGGCCGACCCAGCCAUGGCCCGGGCUCCAGGGCGGCUCAAGGGCUACCUCCUCCGGUGGUCCCUGACUUAGGUCCCAGCACAGCCCCCCAACCCAGGUUGGCCCGGCUGCAGGUUGUCUGAGAGAUGCCGUCGGUAUCGCAGGUCGAAAUCGUGUGAGAAGCUCCCACCUCCCGUCUCCUCGCCCUCACUGGGGCCUCUCAGGAAAGGCCAGCUUGUGAACACAGGGGUGGUGACAUCCUAGAAGCGGAGGAAGCUGGGGCCUGGCGUAGCAGACUGACCAGACCCUCACUGAGGGCCCAAGGCUGAGACUGGGUCACGGACAGUGGAGUCCCGGCGGUUCCCAACAAGACAGAGACUAGGAUCAGUCCCUGAGGCCACCGCCCACUGUCAGUAGACCCUGGGCUCCUCUCCUGACCCAGUCAGGGUCACCGUGAUGGGGACCACGAUGAAGGGGUAGAGGAUGCUGCCGGGCGGGUCCCGCACGGCCCUGCCUGAGAUGGGGCAGCUCCUGAAGUAGCGGCCAUGCACUGCCAGGAAGAACCUGUCCACCUCUGCAUUGGGCCAGAAGCAGCCCAGCUUCUCCGCCAUGUGCCAGGUGCAGUCGGCCAGCUCCCUGUAGCUCCUGCGGAUGGAAGAGGAGGUGGUGCCUUUACCCACAGGUAUGGCUGCCACCAGGCUAGAAGGAAGGGAGUGGAGGUGGCCGUGCCGAGCCAGGGGCCUGGGCGGCACGGGCAGAGGGUGUGCCAUUGGGGUGUUCCUUGGGCUUGGCUUGGAGAGAAGCCAUCGCGGAGUCCCCUCUGCUCCAGGAAUUUUAACCCUCGAAGCCACAGCGGGUGAGCUCAUUCCCACCCUGCCCCUUAGGUGCUCUCAGGACUCUGCUCCCCAGGGCUCUCUGGGGAGAGCAAACGCCAUCUGUUUCUGAACAACUUUCUCCAUAGAUGUGGGUUUGUAGGCCACAGGAUGCCCUUUGAAAUGAAGUGGACAAAACCCAAGUGGACCCAGCCAUCGGUGCUUUUCUGUGUCAUCUUCCAACCCAGGACGUGGGUGUCAAGUGCCUCUUGCAGCAGAGGAAACUGAGGCUCUGAGACAUCACUGGCCGUGGGUAGAGCCCAGACCACGCCGGCUCCUUCUGCCUCCAGCCCUGCAUUCCCUCCAACCCCCUGUGACCUCCUGCUUCACAGAACAGCCCUGAGACUCAGGAAGAAAGGCCCCUCUGGCGUUUCAUGGGGCUCAGAGCCUGUUCUUGGGGACUGAUGGCCUGAAGGGGUCUUGGUGGCAUUCACUGUUGUCACCAUUCCAUGAUAACUGCUGCAAUCAUGAAGGUCCACUGGGUACCCCUGCAUGACAGGCACAGGCUCGGCAAGGCCUGUGUGUGAGCUCGCUCAUGCUCGGGGACCGCUGUUACCCAUUGUUUUGUAGACAGGGAAAUGGAGGUUUGGGAAGGCUGGAGGGCUGCCAGGUGAGAGGGCCAGGGUGUGACUGCACGGGUCUCACACCUCACCACUGUCCCUCGCCCUCGGUGGCCAGAUCUGGCCACAGCUUGGACACUUCCUUGUCUGGGUCCAAGUUGCACUCACUGGGGGUUGAGGCCACAGUGGGCAUCCGUAAGCCAGAGAGCCUUGAAUGAGCCCUUGCCCCAUGGGGGCAGCCUGAGUGCCUCUAGGGCAGGUGCUGAGUCCCCUUCACCCCCGUAUCCAUGAUGCCAGUGUGAUGCCAGGCUUGCUGUGGAAGUUGUGCCACCAGGGCUGCAGCCAGGGUAGGAACAGGCUCAAAGGCCUUUCCACCAUCCCAGACUCUUCUCUCCUGGGAAGCAGAUGCCUUAGGCUGCUGAGGGAGGAACAGCACAGCCUGUCACCCCCAGGGCACAGACAAAGACACACCAUGGCUAGGGGAAGGAUAGGAAGGAACUCUUUUUCCUUGGAAGGGCACCAGGAAACCAUCCUGGCCUACGAUCCUGCACCAUAGAAAACAGAGGCCUUGGCUGGGUGUGGUGGCUUAACACCUGUAAUCCCAGCACUUUGGGAGGCUGAGGCGGGUGGAUCACAAGGUCAGGAGUUCAAGACCAGCCUGGCCAAGAUGGUGAAACCCUAUCUCUACUAAAAAUACAAAAAUUAGCCAGGCACAGUGGCGGGCACCUGUAAUCCCAGCUACGAGGGAGUCUGAGGCAAGAGAAUCGCUUGAACCCAGGAGGUGGAGGUUGCAGUGAGCCGAGAUCAUGCCGAGAUCAUGCCACUGCACUCUAGCCUGGGUGACAGAGCAAGACUCUGUCUCAAAAACACCACCACCACCACCACCACCACCACCAGAGGUCUCUUCUCACUGGGGAAGGGACAGGACAGUCACACCCAAGACCCCGACAGAGUUUGCCACAGGGAAGAGGGGUAGGAAUGCUGGGGUGAAGGGCACAGGGAAGGGCCUGUCUAAACUGAGGCUGGACCAGUACACAGAGAACCCACCCCAAGCCUUGAACAUAACCUUGGUAGAAUAACAAGCAGCAGCUGUCUACUGCCGAGAGAAAGUGGGGUAAGAUCCAUGCUGCAGCACAGGCAGGCAAGAGAAAGCUGAAAGCAGAGGGUGGGGCACCACACUGAGGAAUCUCCUCCAGUGCCCUAGUCCCAACCCUGGGCACAAGGCAAUGACAGCUCAUUGCUAGAGGUACUUGAGGCCUAUGGUACAUUGAAGAUAACCAUAACAAUGACAAAUCCCAAACCCAGCUCAAUUCCUAACAAGAUUGACUCAAAUCCCACACUAACGGUCUGACAGAAGAGGAUUACCCAUUUCCAUAUGUAAAUACUAUUGACCGUAGUCACCUCUGUUCUAUACAUGAAUGUUCAGUAUUCAAUAAAAAUUAUAUAUUUUUUGUUCAGAAGCAACAAAAAACAACCAACCCAUUGUCAAGAGGCAAAACAAUGAAUGGAGUUAGACUCAGAGACGACCUAGAUGUUGUAACUAUCAGACAGUUAUGUUAGAAUGGCUAGUAUGACAACGGGUCUAGUGGAAAUGGCAGACAAUAUGCAUGAACAGAUGGAGAAUUUAAGCAGAGAAGUGAAAACUCAAAGUCAAAGACAGUUGCUAGAAAUAAAAAGAUAUGGCAUCAGAGAGAAUUCCUUCAAUGGGCCCAUCAGCAGACACGAAAACUGAGGAAAGAGAGAAAUUGAAGAUGUCAGUAGAAAUUAACCAAACUGGAACACAAAGAGAAAAAAAAGUGAGGGAAAACCAGAGCAUCCAAGAACUGUGUAACAUGACAAUCCUAUAAAUGACAUCAACCUCAACUCAUAAUGUGAGAGUCCCAGAAAGAGGAGAGGGAAUGGAGCAGAAGAAAUAUUUGAAGAGAUAAUGGCUCAGGCUUUUAAAAAAAUAAUGAAAGACAUAAAAUCGCAGAUCCAAGAAGCUUGGAGAACCUCAAGCAGGACAGAAAACAAAGCAGCUACAACAGCAAACAACCAAAUAGACACAUCAAACUCCAACUGCUGAGCACCAAAGAAAAAGGAAAAAAUCUUGAGGUCAGAGGAAAAAAGACAUACAGAAGAACAGUGAGUUACAGCAGAUUUCUUAAUUUCUUAUCAGAGGCUUGUCAUGUGGGAAGACAAUGGGCAACAUCUUGAAAGUAUUAGAGGUUGCGGGGAGGGGAAACACAUUUGUCAGCCUGGAAUUCUAUACCUAGAAAAAAAUACCUUUUGAAAAUGAGGUUGAGGCUGGGCACAUUGGCUCACACCUGUGAUUCCAGCACUUUGGGAGGCCAAGGCAGGCGGAUCACUUGAGGUCAGGAGUUCGAGACCAGCCUGGCUAACAUGGUGAAACCUCAUCUCUACUAAAAAUACAAAAAUUAGCUGGGCAUGGUGGCAGAUGCCUGUAAUCCCAGCUACUCGGGAGGCUGAGGCAGGAGAAUUACUUGAACCUGGGAGGCGGAGGUUGCAGUGAGUUGAGAUCACGCCAUUGCACUCCAGCCUGGGUGACAGAGCAAGACUGUCUUUAAAAAAAAAAAAAAAAAAAAAAAAGAGGUUGAUAUAAGAACCUUUUGAGAAAAAAGCAGCUGAGAGAAUUCAUUGCCAGCAGACCUGUGCUACAAGAAAUGUCAAAGAAAGUUCUUCAGUGAUAAGAAAGAGUUUGAGAUCCACAUAAAUAGAUGAAGGGCUCCAAAAACAGUGAAAAUGAAGACAAUAGAAGGGUACUUUUCCUUAUAUUUAAUCUAGAAAGUGAGUAAAUGGAUCAGAGGCCAUAAAUUAAAUGUGAGGAGACCCCUGGGGGCUUUAAGAGGCUAUACAGAAAAAGUAGGGGCCUCUCCGGCAUCCCAGCACCCCUCUACCCCCGCCCCUAUCGUACGGUCACUGUUUUUCCUUCCUGGCUGCCCUCUAGGUCACUGCCCUGAGUGUGCAGGGCCUCCCUUAGCCCAUCCAAGAGGCCUAGUAGAUGAGGCAUGAGGAGGGAGAGGCAGCAGAGAGUGUGCCGUGCCUGUAGGCAUUGGGGUGUGUGGUCUCUCCAGGUGAACAAGGACUCAUGUUUCAAGAAGAAAACAGAAGUGGAAAAAGCCACAUGAAGUCGUGACGGUUUGAGUCUCAUCGUGGGGGAAAAACGAAUGAGUGCACGUUAUGUGGCCGGUCCAUGGUAAAUGUUAGACGUGUUAUUGUUGCUGAAAACCAAGUCCAGCCUUCUCAACUACAGGGCUAAACAGUGAGAAUGCUGCCUUUUUUUUUUUUUUUUUUUUGAGACAGAGUCUUGCUCUGUUGCCCAGGCUGGAGUGCAGUGGUACAAUCUCAGCUCACUGCAACCUCCGCUUCCCAGGUUCAAGCGAUUCUCCUGCCUCAGCCUCCUAAGUAGCUGGGACUACAGACAUGGUCCACCAUGCCUGGCUAAUUUUUGUAUUUUUAGUAGAGAUGGGGUUUCACUAUGUUGGCCAGGCUGGUCUCGAACUCCUGACCUCAGGUGAUCUACCCUCCUUGGCUUCCCAAAGUGCUGGGAUUACAGGCGUGAGCCACUGCAUCUGACCAAUGAAGCCUGCUUUGAAUGAUGAUCCUCUCCCAUAUCUCAGACCCACCAAACCCGCAGGCAGUUUAGUUUUUGGUGUUCUGCAGAUCCAGUGACACAUGAUCCUGAACACUGACCCCUGUCCUCUGAGGAGCGGAGCUGUGGCAUUUUUAGGAGGAGCUAUUGCCAUCUCUGCACUGGCCAAACAGAACAGGAAGGAGCGGAUGCAGGAAGCCACGCCACCACAGAACCCACGCCGAGGCCACGCUGAGGCAGAUAGGGCCGUGUGUGGGUGGGCUAUUCUGGGAUCAGGCACUCUCUCCUUGAUAUGUCAGCCUUCUGGAUUGCAGUGCCACCCACGUCUAAAAAUAUCUCUAAUGUGCAGUCGGCUGCCCACUUCAUCCUGUUUAUUUAUACAGAAGUGACAGCUGAAACUUUCAAUAAAUGUUGUGAGCUCCGUCAGUGAGGAUGUGAUAAAAGAAUUCCCCUCAGAGUACAGACAUUCUUCUGCCCAAAAGAACACAGAACGGACUGAAGGACCCAAAAUAGUCAUGAAAAAUACACCCUGGCUUUAACUCCCUAAAGUUUCAGUUCUCGUGUCACUGAGUAAUUAUCCUUUUUUGGCUAGGACCUUCUAUUCUGGGGCUCGAAGCAAACUUUGCUUGGAAUGUUCCUGAAUCCUAUGGUGGGAGUUUCCAGCAUAUCUGGGUCCCAAGUCAAGGCCCGACACCACUGUUCAUGGUUACUUGCUGGUAAGAAAGUGUGAUCACUGAUGCUCACAGGUGAGUCAUCUACUCUGGGGACACCCUGGGUUGCAGUUGUCCCCCAGCUACCCCCGGCUGGCCCUAAUAUGAAAUAUCUGAGCCUGGGCCCUGUCACCCAUAGACCUGGGUUCAAAUCCCAGCUCCACCUCUUACCCAGAGUGAUCCUGGAGACCUCAUUCGCUUGUUCAAGUCUUAGUCUCCUA
RNAcentral lists this long non-coding RNA (7299 nucleotides) under Homo sapiens (human). Its description in RNAcentral is "HSALNT0049436". The record is from RNAcentral. Lineage: Eukaryota; Metazoa; Chordata; Mammalia; Primates; Hominidae.